GUAGGUGGCAAGCGCUGUCCGGAAUUAUUGGGCGUAAAGCGCGCGCAGGCGGUUCUUUAAGUCUGAUGUGAAAGCCCACGGGCUCAACCGUGGAGGGUCAUUGGAAACUGGAGAACUUGAGUACAGAAGAGGAAAGCGGAAUUCCACGUGUAGCGGUGAAAUGCGUAGAGAUGUGGAGGAACACCAGUGGCGAAGGCGGCUUUCUGGUCUGUAACUGACGCUGAGGCGCGAAAGCGUGGGGAGCAAACAGGAUUAGAUACCCUGGUAGUCCACGCCGUAAACGAUGAGUGCUAAGUGUUAGGGGGUUUCCGCCCCUUAGUGCUGCAGCUAACGCAUUAAGCACUCCGCCUGGGGAGUACGGCCGCAAGGCUG
RNAcentral lists this ribosomal RNA (372 nucleotides) under uncultured organism. Its description in RNAcentral is "partial 16S ribosomal RNA". It matches the Rfam family "Bacterial small subunit ribosomal RNA", at positions 527 to 896 of the family's 1533-position model. The record is from RNAcentral.